This is an RNA transcript of Oryza sativa Japonica Group (Japanese rice), 1979 nucleotides long. It is a transcript of the gene named OVARIAN TUMOR DOMAIN-containing deubiquitinating enzyme 12, with no coding region annotated. The record is from RefSeq and is a predicted model, not a curated record. Lineage: Eukaryota; Viridiplantae; Streptophyta; Magnoliopsida; Poales; Poaceae.
AAAAAAAAAAAAAAACUCAAGAACACAAGAAAAAAGAAGCAGUUUUUUUUGCCCGUCUCAUCUUCUUCUUCUCCCUCUCGCCGCGCUUCUUGCACGCAGCAAUCUCUCUCUCUCUCGCCGCCGUCAAUCCCACCACGAAUUCUCCGGUGGCUGGCUGCUCUCGACUCCUUCGCGCGUCGAUUUCAUGCGGCCGGGUGGUUGCCCGCCUCCUCCCGAACGAUCCCUCGCCGCCGCCGCUGCCGCUCAUCGGCGUUGUCAUCCACCACCGCCGCCGCUCCUCCGCCGCGGACGUGCCUCGCCGGCGGCGAGCCGAGCGGUGAGUUCUGCCCCGUGUGGUGUGGACUCGUAGAGUGGCCGUGGAUCUGCCGCGGCGACGUAAUCUGCUCCGGUUUUUCCUCGACCUCUCGAUCCCUCUUCUACCCUCGCGUCCCCAACUCCUAUCCGCGCUCAGGAUCGUAUUCCGGGGAAUCGCAGGGCUCGCCGUCGAAAGGAUCCAAUUUUUUUCGACUGCAGAAUCCCCUCACGGACGCGAGGAAUUUCGUCGUAGGUGGAGCACACGCGGGGAGUGUUUUUGACAGAGCUUGAUUUCAACGGAUGAACAUGUGUGAGAAAGAUCAAAAUUUCCACUGGGGUUAUGACCUUUUCCGUGACCCUUUUGCUCCUAUCGGGUACUAUGGACCUCCUCAUGGUUACGGUGAUGGCAACUAUUGUGACCUCCAUUAUGCUAGAGAUGCAUCACAUCUGGAUGAGACGCACUUGCAUUCUUCUGCACUGACAUAUGAUUUGUACAACCCAUCAGUAGGCAUCUACCAUCCUGGAAAUGCUGGUGAGCAUGACCAUGACACAGUCUAUAUAGAGCCGACUAGUUCCAAUUCAUGCCCAGACACUGACGACAGUUUCCCAAUGGAUGAAGAAGUAGGAAAGAGGUUUUACCCCAUGGUGCCAGUUCCCCAUGUUCCUAAAAUUAAUGGAGAGAUCCCUUCAGUCGAUGAAGCUACCAUGGACCAUGAAAGGCUGACAGAAAGGUUGAGGUUGUAUGAACUAGUUGAGCACAAGGUGAAAGGAGAUGGCAACUGUCAGUUUCGGGCACUAUCAGAUCAACUGUAUCAAAGUCCCGAUCACCAUGAGUUUGUGAGGCAGCAGAUUAUGAGCCAGCUUAAAAGUAACCGUGAUGCCUACGAUGGAUAUGUCCCCAUGGCAUAUGACGAUUACUUGGAGAAAGUAUCACAAAAUGGUGAAUGGGGUGACCAUGUGACUCUACAGGCUGCUGCUGACAAGUAUGGAGUUAAGAUUUUCGUGAUGACAUCGUUCAAGGAUACGUGCUACAUUGAGAUCCAACCAAAGGUUCAGAAGUCCAACAAAGUGGUGCUGUUGAGCUUUUGGGCGGAGGUUCACUACAACUCCAUAUAUCCGCAGAACGGUGAGUAGGCCCUGCCUGCCAUUGGCAUACGAUGCAAUGCAUGUCCGGUCUUCGUCGCCAGCAUGCGCCGAGGUCGCAGACGACGAGGAAGAGGAGAUGGUGGCCGUUCUCUCACAACCACCACCAUCACCACCAUUGAUGCCUGGGCUGCAAAGCUUUUCUUCCUUGAUCAAGAUGACCCAGGUUGAUCAAGAUGACCCAGAAAGAAAGCUGGUGCUCAUUGUCUUGUUGGUCUGAUGACAAUCAUGGACAUCUGAUAGUAGGAGGAGGACAUUGUGGUGAUGAUUAUAUAUCUCCAAAUGAUAUAGAAGAUACAUGGAAAUAUGGAAUCCAUGGAAGGAAUAAUUUCGUCUUAGUCCGGUCCGGUCCCGUAUAUAGCUGCUGCUGAGCUGCACUGCACUGCAUUGCAUUCCCUGAAUCAAUUAUCAAUCACCUCACCUGUAUUAUUAUUUCUCAAAAAUUUUGCCGGAAUGAGGCUACAAUUAUUCAUUCGGAACGAAUGCCACCAUAUAAUACCAAUAAUGAUAAUGAUAAUUGACAUACUCCUACAGUUUGUUCA